GAUCAUGGCUCAGGAUGAACGCUGGCGGCGUGCCUAACACAUGCAAGUCGAACGGAGUUACUUUGGUGAAGUUUUCGGAUGGAUCCGAUUUAACUUAGUGGCGGACGGGUGAGUAAUGCGUGAGCAACCUGCCCUUCAGAGGGGGACAACAGUUGGAAACGACUGCUAAUACCGCAUAACGUAUUCGGAAGGCAUCUUCUGAAUACCAAAGGAGAAAUCCGCUGAGGGAUGGGCUCACGU
Molecule: ribosomal RNA, 240 nt
Filed under: uncultured bacterium
Lineage: Bacteria
Description: partial 16S ribosomal RNA
Rfam family: Bacterial small subunit ribosomal RNA
Source: RNAcentral